This is a long non-coding RNA of Ictalurus punctatus (channel catfish), 618 nucleotides long. The record is from Ensembl. Lineage: Eukaryota; Metazoa; Chordata; Actinopteri; Siluriformes; Ictaluridae.
UAAGAAGAGCUCCGGUACCUCAGAGUGACGCUUGUUCCAUUUCUGCUCCUGUGCUUUUUAACCGCAUGCUCUGCUCCGUGUGCUCACAUGCAUGAAGGCGGACAUCUGUGUUUGUGUGUUGGAUGAAUAUGAAACGUGAAAUACGUCCAUUGCGACAUGCAACGCAGCGCUGCAUGGUUACGUGCAAUGUUUUACAUGUCACAUGUUCCCUUUUUUCUGUUUUUGUUUUUAAUGAUGAACCUUUCUGAGCAGGAACAGGUUGAUCUGAAGUUUUGCGUAUUGAAGAAACACUGAGCAAGCAGUGAGGAAAACGUCUCCAGCGCGCAUAGUCUCGUCCUUUAGGCUGAGUCUGUGUCUGUUUGUGUGUGUGUGUGUGUGUGUGUGUGGCUGUCCACAGAGGAUGAAAGCUGAUAGGACCUUUCUAGCACACAGUGAGGACUCCCUGUUACAUGGGGUUCAGACCACCACUGAGGCAUAACAGCAGCAUGAAUGCAGACAAGCUCUACAAGGGUCAGCUGUCGGAGUUACCCCUCUGUCCUCUAUCCACACUCCACCUAUCCACAAACGGGGCGGUGAUGAGGAUCAAAGCCACACCCAUCGCAGGUCUGAGUCUUCCCU